Long non-coding RNA from Carassius gibelio (silver crucian carp), 893 nucleotides. RefSeq lists it as uncharacterized. The transcript has 2 exons. The record is from RefSeq and is a predicted model, not a curated record. NCBI's taxonomy places the organism in Eukaryota, Metazoa, Chordata, Actinopteri, Cypriniformes, Cyprinidae.
CCAAAUCCGUUAAAGGAUUUUUAGGCUGCAUUAAUUAGGUAAACCGGAACCGGAAACACUUCACAUAACACCCUAUGUACUUGCUACAUCAUUAGAAGAAUGGCAUCUACGCUAAUAUUUGUCUGUUUCUCUCUUGUUCCGAGGUCACCGUGGCCACCAGAUCCAGUCUGUAUCCAGAUCAGAGGGUCACUGCAGUCACCCGGAUCCAGUACGUAUCCAGACCAGAUGGUGGAUCAGCACCUAGAAAGGACCUCUACUGCCCUGAAAGACAGCGGAGACCAGGACAACUAGAGCCCAGAUACAGAUCCCCUGUAAAGACCUUGUCUCAGAGGAGCACCAGGACAAGACCACAGGAAACAGAUGAUUCUUCUGCACAAUCUGACUUUGCUGCAGCCUGGAAUUGAACUACUGGUUUCGUCUGGUCAGAGGAGAACUGGCCCCCCAACUGAGCCUGGUUUCUCCCAAGGUUUUUUUCUCCAUUCUGUCACCGAUGGAGUUUCGGUUCCUUGCCGCUGUCGCCUCUGGCUUGCUUAGUUGGGGUCACUUCAUCUACAGCGAUAUCGUUGACUUGAUUGCAAAUUAAAACAGACACUAUUUCAACUGAACAGAGAUGACAUCAAUGAAUUCAAUGAUGAACUGCCUUUAACUAUCAUUUUGCAUUAUUGAGACACUGUUUUCCAAAUGAAUGUUGUUCAGUGCUUUGGCGCAAUGUAUUUUGUUUAAAGCACUAUAUAAAUAAAGGUGAUUGAUUGAUUGAUUGAUACAAAUAAACUUGAAUUGAAUUGAAUUGAAUUGAAUGAUGUAAAGUGUAAAGUGUAAAGUGGGUGUUUUGUGCUGUUGUAGCAAUGUAAAAGUGCUCAAAACUAUAAAAACAACCCAACAUCCAAAAAACA